UUUGAUCCUGGCUCAAGACGAACGCUGGCGGCGUGCUUAACACAUGCAAGUCGAACGAUGAAACUAUGACGGAGGCUUCGGCCAACUGAGUGGUGGAUUAGUGGCGGACGGGUGAGUAACGCGUGAGUAACCUGCCUCUCAGAGAGGAAUAACAUUUGGAAACGAAUGGUAAUACCACAUAACAUUACGGGACCGCAUGAUUCUGUAAUCAAAAGGAUUUUAUCGCUGAGAGAUGGACUCGCGUCCGAUUAGCUAGAUGGUGAGGUAACGGCUCACCAUGGCGACGAUCGGUAGCCGGACUGAGAGGUUGAACGGCCACAUUGGGACUGAGACACGGCCCAGACUCCUACGGGAGGCAGCAGUGGGGAAUAUUGCGCAAUGGGGGAAACCCUGACGCAGCGACGCCGCGUGAGCGAAGAAGGCCUUAGGGUCGUAAAGCUCUGUUUUAAGGGACGAAUAUCCUUAGUAGUAACUGACUAAGGAAUGACGGUACCUUAAGAGAAAGCCCCGGCUAACUACGUGCCAGCAGCCGCGGUAAGACGUAGGGGGCGAGCGUUGUCCGGAAUUACUGGGCGUAAAGAGCACGUAGGCGGGAUUUUAAGUCAGGUGUGAAAGACCGUGGCUCAACCACGGGGUUGCACAUGAAACUGGAAUUCUUGAGGGCAGGAGAGGAAAGUGGAAUUCCUGGUGUAGCGGUGAAAUGCGUAGAAAUCAGGAGGAACACCGGUGGCGAAGGCGACUUUCUGGACUGACCCUGACGCUGAGGUGCGAAAGCGUGGGUAGCAAACAGGAUUAGAUACCCUGGUAGUCCACGCUGUAAACGAUGGAUACUAGGUGUGGGAGGUAUCGACCCCUUCCGUGCCGGAGCUAACGUGUUAAGUGUGCCGCCUGGGGAGUACGGCCGCAAGGCUAAAACUCAAAGAAAUUGACGGGGGCCCGCACAAGCGGAGGAGCAUGUGGCUUAAUUCGAUGCAACGCGAAGAACCUUACCCGGGUUUGACAUGUAACUGCACAUCCUGUGAAAGCAGGAUUCCUUCGAGGGUGUUACACAGGUGCUGCAUGGCUGUCGUCAGUUCGUGCCGUGAGGUGUUUGGUUAAGUCCAGCAACGAACGCAACCCCUGUGUCCAAUUGCCAGCGAGUAAUGUCGGGAACUUUGGACAGACUGCCUGUUUACGCAGGAGGAAGGUGGGGACGACGUCAAGUCAGUAUGGCCCUUACAUCCGGGGCUGCACACGUGCUACAAUGGUCGGUACAAUGGGACGCUAAGCCGUAAGGUGGCGCAAAUCCCCAGAGCCGGCCCCAGUUCAGAUUGCGGUCUGCAAUUCGACCGCAUGAAGUCGGAUUCGCUAGUAACGGCGUAUCAGCUACGACGCCGUGAAUACGUUCCCGGGCCUUGUACACACCGCCCGUCAAG
RNAcentral lists this ribosomal RNA (1415 nucleotides) under uncultured bacterium. RNAcentral describes it as "partial 16S ribosomal RNA". It matches the Rfam family "Bacterial small subunit ribosomal RNA". The record is from RNAcentral.